Molecule: long non-coding RNA, 647 nt
Organism: Mastomys coucha (southern multimammate mouse)
Lineage: Eukaryota; Metazoa; Chordata; Mammalia; Rodentia; Muridae
Exons: 3
Source: RefSeq, a predicted model, not a curated record
UACUAUAGACUCCCCUUAAAAUUCCGUUUAAAGGUCUUCAGGUGGCUCUCUUGGUGAAGGCGUGUGCUGCCAGCCCUGAGGACCAGAAUUUGGUCUCUGGAACCCUCAUGAGGGAGGAGGAGAACCGAUCCUUCAGAGAAGUCCUGAGGUGUCCACUUAUGACUGGGGAGUACAGGCACCCCCUUCCACAAAACAAAGAUGAGUUACUAGAGUAAAUAUUACAACACUGGUGAGAACUGGCACUUUGACAGAGGUAAGAACUGGCAUUUUGACAGAGGUGAGAACUGGCACUUUGACAGAGGUGAGAACUGGCACUUUGACAGAGGUAAGCAAAGGGAAUCACUUCUACAGUAAAUAAGGACAGCAGAGCGCGAAGUCUUUGCAACUCCACUCUCUUCAGAGGAGGAAUACAACAUUACAGACUUGAUCCAAUGGGCCCAACCCUGCUUCCUGUCAGGAGAGCAGUGCCUGAGAGUAAUGAAGUCACAGACAGCCUUUGGUGACUCCAACUGGAACCUUCAGAAAUGACAGACUCUACAGUUCCUAAAUUCCCUGGGAAGCACGAGGGGCAGUGUUCUGUGUGCUGCUUUCCGUCAGUUCCAUCUUACAUGAAGAGAAGUAAACUUUGAUCAUAUAACUCACUGAAA